GAAUAUUGGACAAUGGGCGCAAGCCUGAUCCAGCCAUGCCGCGUGCAGGAAGACUGCCCUAUGGGUUGUAAACUGCUUUUAUACGGGAAGAAACACCCCCUCGUGAGGGGGCUUGACGGUACCGUAAGAAUAAGGAUCGGCUAACUCCGGGCCAGGAGCCGCGGUAAUACGGAGGAACCAAGCGUUAUCCGGAAUCAUUGGGUUUAAAAGGUCCGUAGGUGGAUAAUUAAGUCAGAGGUUAAAGUCUGCAGCUCAACUGUAGAAUUGCCUUUGAUACUGGUUAUCUUGAGUCAUUAUGAAGUGGUUAGAAUAUGUAGUGUAGCGGUGAAAUGCAUAGAUAUUACAUAGAAUACCAAUUGCGAAGGCAGAUCACUAAUAAUGUACUGACACUGAUGGACGAAAGCGUGGGGAGCGAACAGG
RNAcentral lists this ribosomal RNA (420 nucleotides) under uncultured bacterium. RNAcentral's name for it is "bacterial SSU rRNA". It matches the Rfam family "Bacterial small subunit ribosomal RNA", at positions 359 to 776 of the family's 1533-position model. The record is from RNAcentral.